UACAAACCGCCCUCUCUCCCUGGAAUCCUAGAGGGUUUCCUAAAUGGGAGUUGGUUUUGAGGGAAGCUGAUGUGCUCCUAUAUACUGUGCACACACACACACACACACACACACAGUCAGCACAUCAGCAGCCAGGCUUUAGAAUGAGUGACCGUUCCGUUCUAAUAGGUAACUACAUGAGAAGCUGUGUCUUUUUCUGGGUAGGAUCAAAUGAACAUGAAGGCCUGUUGCACAAUGUAAAAUAUGGUACCACUAAACAUAAUAUGCUAAUAACUAGACGUACAGUGUAUAAGGUCGUUAUAAAAGCCUCUUAUUAUAAUGUAUAUAUAAACGCAGACAUAAUAUUACACAAUGGUAUGUAUAUUAUGUCAAUCUACUGCAUAGGAUUCCACGGUUCGGUGUGGUAUUUACCAGUUGGUGUGAGGGCCUGGAACAGCAUGUGGAGGAGUUCCUCCUUCAUAGGACUACUGAUGUGAGAGACGUAGUGCAAAGCAGAGCAUGCCUGGUGGUCACACACCUUCACGUCACUGGAAUGGGAGGAGACAAGGAACAGGGAUGUGAUCUAUACACCACCACAAUACAGUCAGAACAACAUGGACCAUGGUGCUCUCGAGACAUAUUUAGGGUCUCUUAGAGAACAUUCGAAUUUGUUGAUGGUGUUGAUUAGACUGCAUGUCUAAUUUAACUUAACCACCACGCGUGAAGUAAAUGUUGGCUGGACUGGACUGGAGGUUAGAGUCAUUCUAUAAAGCUGCUUUUCUUACGCUGAGGCCGCUAGCAGCUCCCUCACCACUUCUACGGGCCUGUAUUCCCAUGGCAACUGGGAGCCGAGCUCUUCGAACAUGUCGAUAUCACGGAUCGCCAGCAUCAGUGGAGUCAGGCCGUCCCUGUUUUGACAGUUCACAUCCACAAGAUCACUCUGAGCCUGAAACACACACAAUGUCCGAGUGUGACUACAGCCGAGCCAGACUGCAUUCAAAAUGUCAACAGUCUACAAAUCUGGAGCCAGGGUGCAAAGUAAACAUUGAGUAUAGACACACACACACACGCACAUGCACACAAUCUGAGCCUCGUUGUAGUGUGAGUCCUACCAGCAGGUGCUGCAGUGAGUGGAGCUCUCCCUGCCAGGCAGCCUGGAGGAGCUGGGUGUGGUGGGGCAGAGGCCUGGACAUGGACCAGAGCAGCUCCCUCUGCAGGGCAGGAGGACUCACGUGUAACGCAGUCUGGUUGCUGCGGUUGCACAGCGUGACAUCAGCUCCCUUUCUCAAGAGGAAGUACACGACCUGAAAACAGAGAGAUGCAUGUCAUCACAGAGGUGUCUCUGUGCUGGGUUUGUCCACCUGGGGGACAGGUGUAGGGAGAUCCCUAUGGCAUCCCUCGUCAUCAACACUACCAGUCUGAGUUUACACUCUGUUGCCUAGGAGAUAUUGUCAGCCCAGCAGGCCAAGAGUGGAUUAAAUGCCAACAAGCUUUAUGCCCUGCAAGAGGAAGACAAAAAGAAAGCUGCUACAAUUGGCACUCAAAAAAAAUGGCAUGAUUCUUUCUU
Osmerus eperlanus (European smelt) is the source of this 1546-nucleotide long non-coding RNA. RefSeq lists it as uncharacterized. The transcript has 3 exons. The record is from RefSeq and is a predicted model, not a curated record. Lineage: Eukaryota; Metazoa; Chordata; Actinopteri; Osmeriformes; Osmeridae.